GAGAAGCCUCCCUGACUGGAGACUAGAAAGAGUCUCACAUCUUCUGCUACCACAUGAAUAGACUAAAAAGAAAGAAGAGUCCCAGAUGGGGCCAAGUGGUGACCUGUAGCUAUUUCAGCUCAGAAUGUCAGCCUCUAAAGCAUCAGGUUUGAAUGACUUUGGUGUCAUGGGAUUCUGUCCAUUGUCCGUUUGAGUCUGCUGACAUGCUUCCUCUGGAAAGUGCAGUUUGGCAUGGACGAGUCAGUGGUUUUUUAUUUUGGGGUGUUUUUUAAAAAAUAAAAAUGAAUUACUUUGAGAAUUUUUUAGCAUCUCCUGAUUGUUUCAAAACCAAGGCCGAGAACUGUCGCAGGCAAGAACUUGUGUGCCGAACUCUGAAGGAGCCACCACCCGCAGCACCAGUGGCCACCCACUGUCUCCAUCCAGUGCCUUCU
RNAcentral lists this long non-coding RNA (431 nucleotides) under Piliocolobus tephrosceles (Ugandan red Colobus). Its description in RNAcentral is "lncRNA (ENSPTEG00000034491.1)". The record is from RNAcentral. Lineage: Eukaryota; Metazoa; Chordata; Mammalia; Primates; Cercopithecidae.